Molecule: ribosomal RNA, 425 nt
Filed under: uncultured bacterium
Lineage: Bacteria
Description: partial 16S ribosomal RNA
Rfam family: Bacterial small subunit ribosomal RNA
Source: RNAcentral
GUGGGGAAUCUUGCGCAAUGGGCGAAAGCCUGACGCAGCCAUGCCGCGUGAAUGAUGAAGGUCUUAGGAUUGUAAAAUUCUUUCACCGGGGACGAUAAUGACGGUACCCGGAGAAGAAGCCCCGGCUAACUUCGUGCCAGCAGCCGCGGUAAUACGAAGGGGGCUAGCGUUGCUCGGAAUUACUGGGCGUAAAGGGCGCGUAGGCGGACAGUUUAGUCAGAGGUGAAAGCCCAGGGCUCAACCUUGGAAUUGCCUUUGAUACUGGCUGUCUUGAGUACGGGAGAGGUGAGUGGAACGCCGAGUGUAGAGGUGAAAUUCGUAGAUAUUCGGAAGAACACCAGUGGCGAAGGCGACUCACUGGCCCGUUACUGACGCUGAGGCGCGUAAGCGUGGGGAGCAAACAGGAUUAGAUACCCUGGUAGUCC